GAUGAACGCUGGCGGCGUGCUUAACACAUGCAAGUCGAACGAAGCACCUCUCCCGAAGAUUGACACAGCUUGCUGUAGAUUGAUUCAUUUGAGGUGACUGAGUGGCGGACGGGUGAGUAACGCGUGGGUAACCUGCCUCAUAGAGGGGGACAACAGUUGGAAACGACUGCUAAUACCGCAUAGUAAGAAGACUUCGCAUGUUUUCUUCUUGAAAGAUUUAUCGCUAUGAGAUGGACCCGCGUCUGAUUAGCUAGUUGGUAAGGUAACGGCUUACCAAGGCGACGAUCAGUAGCCGGCUUGAGAGAGUGAACGGCCACAUUGGGACUGAGACACGGCCCAAACUCCUACGGGAGGCAGCAGUGGGGAAUAUUGCACAAUGGGGGAAACCCUGAUGCAGCGACGCCGCGUGAGUGAAGAAGUAUUUCGGUAUGUAAAGCUCUAUCAGCAGGGAAGAUAAUGACGGUACCUGACUAAGAAGCCCCGGCUAACUACGUG
Molecule: ribosomal RNA, 495 nt
Filed under: uncultured bacterium
Lineage: Bacteria
Description: partial 16S ribosomal RNA
Rfam family: Bacterial small subunit ribosomal RNA
Source: RNAcentral